This 429-nucleotide ribosomal RNA is filed under the name Bacteroidota bacterium. RNAcentral's name for it is "Bacteroidetes bacterium partial 16S ribosomal RNA". It matches the Rfam family "Bacterial small subunit ribosomal RNA", at positions 355 to 776 of the family's 1533-position model. The record is from RNAcentral. Lineage: Bacteria; Pseudomonadati; Bacteroidota.
UAGGGAAUCUUCCGCAAUGGACGCAAGCCUGACGGAGCAACGCCGCGUGAGUGAAGAAGGAUUUCGGUUCGUAAAACUCUGUUGUUAGAGAAGAACAGCGCAUAGAGUAACUGUUAUGCGUGUGACGGUAUCUAACCAGAAAGCCACGGCUAACUACGUGCCAGCAGCCGCGGUAAUACGUAGGUGGCAAGCGUUGUCCGGAUUUAUUGGGCGUAAAGCGAGCGCAGGCGGUCAAUUAAGUCUGAUGUGAAAGCCCCCGGCUCAACCGGGGAGGGUCAUUGGAAACUGGUUGACUUGAGUGCAGAAGAGGAGAGUGGAAUUCCAUGUGUAGCGGUGAAAUGCGUAGAUAUAUGGAGGAACACCAGUGGCGAAGGCGACUCUCUGGUCUGUAACUGACGCUGAGGCUCGAAAGCGUGGGUAGCAAACAGG